RNAcentral lists this ribosomal RNA (497 nucleotides) under uncultured bacterium. Its description in RNAcentral is "partial 16S ribosomal RNA". It matches the Rfam family "Bacterial small subunit ribosomal RNA", at positions 28 to 507 of the family's 1533-position model. The record is from RNAcentral.
GAUGAACGCUGACGGCGUGCCUAAUACAUGCAAGUCGAGCGAACGGGCGAGAAGCUUGCUUCUCUGAUGUUAGCGGCGGACGGGUGAGUAACACGUGGAUAACCUACCUAUAAGACUGGGAUAACUUCGGGAAACCGGAGCUAAUACCGGAUAAUAUUUUGAACCGCAUGGUUCAAAAGUGAAAGACGGUCUUGCUGUCACUUAUAGAUGGAUCCGCGCUGCAUUAGCUAGUUGGUAAGGUAACGGCUUACCAAGGCAACGAUGCAUAGCCGACCUGAGAGGGUGAUCGGCCACACUGGAACUGAGACACGGUCCAGACUCCUACGGGAGGCAGCAGUAGGGAAUCUUCCGCAAUGGGCGAAAGCCUGACGGAGCAACGCCGCGUGAGUGAUGAAGGUCUUCGGAUCGUAAAACUCUGUUAUUAGGGAAGAACAUAUGUGUAAGUAACUGUGCACAUCUUGACGGUACCUAAUCAGAAAGCCACGGCUAACUACGUG